This 430-nucleotide ribosomal RNA is filed under the name Verrucomicrobiota bacterium. RNAcentral describes it as "Verrucomicrobia bacterium partial 16S ribosomal RNA". It matches the Rfam family "Bacterial small subunit ribosomal RNA", at positions 355 to 776 of the family's 1533-position model. The record is from RNAcentral. Lineage: Bacteria; Pseudomonadati; Verrucomicrobiota.
UGGGGAAUCUUCCGCAAUGGACGAAAGUCUGACGGAGCAACGCCGCGUGAGUGAUGACGGUCUUCGGAUUGUAAAGCUCUGUUAAUCGGGACGAAUGGUUUGUGUGCAAAUAGUGCAUAGACAUGACGGUACCGGAAUAGAAAGCCACGGCUAACUACGUGCCAGCAGCCGCGGUAAUACGUAGGUGGCAAGCGUUGUCCGGAAUUAUUGGGCGUAAAGAGCUUGUAGGCGGUUCGUCGCGUCUGGUGUGAAAGCCCAUCGCUUAACGGUGGGUUUGCGCCGGGUACGGGCGGGCUAGAGUGCAGUAGGGGAGACUGGAAUUCCCGGUGUAACGGUGGAAUGUGUAGAUAUCGGGAAGAACACCAAUGGCGAAGGCAGGUCUCUGGGCUGUUACUGACGCUGAGAAGCGAAAGCGUGGGGAGCGAACAGG